AAAACUUUCAACAACGGAUCUCUUGGCUCUGGCAUCGAUGAAGAACGCAGCGAAAUGCGAUAAGUAAUGUGAAUUGCAGAAUUCAGUGAAUCAUCGAAUCUUUGAACGCACAUUGCGCCCGCCAGUAUUCUGGCGGGCAUGCCUGUUCGAGCGUCGUU
RNAcentral lists this ribosomal RNA (158 nucleotides) under Fusarium lichenicola. RNAcentral's name for it is "5.8S ribosomal RNA". It matches the Rfam family "5.8S ribosomal RNA". From Rfam's summary of the family: 5.8S ribosomal RNA (5.8S rRNA) is a component of the large subunit of the eukaryotic ribosome. The record is from RNAcentral. Lineage: Eukaryota; Fungi; Ascomycota; Sordariomycetes; Hypocreales; Nectriaceae.